This is a long non-coding RNA of Arabidopsis lyrata subsp. lyrata, 817 nucleotides long. RefSeq lists it as uncharacterized. Lineage: Eukaryota; Viridiplantae; Streptophyta; Magnoliopsida; Brassicales; Brassicaceae. The transcript has 4 exons. The record is from RefSeq and is a predicted model, not a curated record.
AUGACUUUGCUCUAAACAGUAUCAGUAUAUUAUUAAGGCUGGUAAGAUUCUGUUUUAUGUACCUUUAAAGGAUUUGAUCUUCACAAACCUCAACAAACAUACAACAGGACGCCCACCAGCAGUUUGGCUUCCUCUGUACACAGUCUCAGCAAAUGAUCCCCACAAGUGUCAGGUAACUUGAGUCAGAGACAGGAUCACAUGGAAAUACAUGAGUUCCAUUUGUGAAAGUCAUCUUAUAUAGAUGAGAGGUUGGACGGAAUUGGCCACUGGCAUAAUUGAGAGCAAAGAUCUCAAUGAAAACCCAAUGACCAACAGAUAACACCAACUCUAGAGUUUCACCAGUGUUGGCUGUGUACUGCCGCCAGGAGUGAAGUACCUUCACUUGGACUCUCCAUUGUGUGGUGUAUGGCCUGACAUCUUUGAGAUUGCCUUGGCGAAAAUAAAGGAACAACGGAGAUUGCAUUUGGCGAAAAUAUACUUAAGGUAUGAGAGAUGUUAUUUGAAUUGAUUUUGGUAAAAAUAAGUAGAAGAAUUAAAGACAACAUGGCUUUAUUUAUUAGUUUGAAAUUAAUACAACAUCCCUUAAAUCUCUUAUUCUAGAUCCGAACAGAAUUAAACCGGGUCAAACCCGGAUCCAAAAGAAUUAAAGCAAAAAAGUACUGUAAAAAUGUUAAUAUAGAUAUCAAAAAAGUUAUUCAUCAACUAAGAAUUAAGAUACGUCACUAAUGGAUUUAGAGUAUGUGAGUAUACGUAAUGGUAAACUCGAUGGAGAUUGUGUUCUUAAUUAAUUUACUUCGGUAAAAAAAAAAAAAAAAAA